AGUGAACGCUGGCGGUAGGCCUAACACAUGCAAGUCGAACGGCAGCACAGUAAGAGCUUGCUCUUACGGGUGGCGAGUGGCGGACGGGUGAGGAAUACAUCGGAAUCUACUUUUUCGUGGGGGAUAACGUAGGGAAACUUACGCUAAUACCGCAUACGACCUACGGGUGAAAGCAGGGGAUCUUCGGACCUUGCGCGAUUGAAUGAGCCGAUGUCGGAUUAGCUAGUUGGCGGGGUAAAGGCCCACCAAGGCGACGAUCCGUAGCUGGUCUGAGAGGAUGGUAAGCCACACUGGAACUGAGACACGGUCCAGACUACUACGGGAGGCAGCAGUGGGGAAUAUUGGACAAUGGGCGCAAGCCUGAUCCAGCCAUACCGCGUGGGUGAAGAAGGCCUUCGGGUUGGAAAGCCCUUUUGUUGGGAAAGAAAAGCAGCAGGUUAAUACCCCGCUGUUCUGACGGUACCCAAAGAAUAAGCACCGGCUAACUUCGUG
RNAcentral lists this ribosomal RNA (492 nucleotides) under uncultured bacterium. RNAcentral's name for it is "partial 16S ribosomal RNA". It matches the Rfam family "Bacterial small subunit ribosomal RNA", at positions 29 to 507 of the family's 1533-position model. The record is from RNAcentral.